This 568-nucleotide ribosomal RNA is filed under the name uncultured Trichosporon. RNAcentral describes it as "eukaryotic LSU rRNA". It matches the Rfam family "Eukaryotic large subunit ribosomal RNA", at positions 1 to 577 of the family's 3401-position model. Lineage: Eukaryota; Fungi; Basidiomycota; Tremellomycetes. The record is from RNAcentral.
UGGCCUCAAAUCAGGUAGGACUACCCGCUGAACUUAAGCAUAUCAAUAAGCGGAGGAAAAGAAACUAACAAGGAUUCCCUUAGUAACGGCGAGUGAACCGGGAAGAGCUCAAAUUUGAAAUCUGGCUGUCUUCGAUAGUCCGAGUUGUAAUCUAUAGAAGCGUUUUCCGUGCUGAACUGUGUCUAAGUCCCUUGGAACAGGGUAUCAAAGAGGGUGACAAUCCCGUACUUGACACAAUCAUCAGUGCUCUGUGAUACGUUCUCUACGAGUCGAGUUGUUUGGGAAUGCAGCUCAAAAUGGGUGGUAAAUUCCAUCUAAAGCUAAAUAUUGGCGAGAGACCGAUAGCGAACAAGUACCGUGAGGGAAAGAUGAAAAGCACUUUGGAAAGAGAGUUAAACAGUACGUGAAAUUGUUGAAAGGGAAACGAUUGAAGUCAGUCGUGUUCAUUGGAUUCAGCCGGUCUUCGGUGUACUUCCUUUGAACGGGUCAACAUCAGUUUUGCUCGGUGGAUAAAGGUAGUAGGAAUGUGGCCCUUCCGGGGGUGUUAUAGCCUAUUAUCACAUACACU